UACGAAGGUCCCAAGCGUUGUUCGGAAUCACUGGGCGUAAAGGGAGCGUAGGCGGCGCGGUAAGUCAGAUGUGAAAUCCCGGGGCUCAACCCCGGAACUGCAUCCGAUACUGCCAUGCUAGAGGAUUGGAGAGGUAGCUGGAAUUCUUGGUGUAGCAGUGAAAUGCGUAGAGAUCAAGAGGAACACUCGUGGCGAAAGCGAGCUCCUGGACAAUCCCUGACGCUGAGGCUCGAAGGCUAGGGUAGCAAAAGGG
This 253-nucleotide ribosomal RNA is filed under the name uncultured bacterium. RNAcentral's name for it is "partial 16S ribosomal RNA". It matches the Rfam family "Bacterial small subunit ribosomal RNA", at positions 524 to 776 of the family's 1533-position model. The record is from RNAcentral.